AAACCAUGGUGAGGACAUUGUAUUAAAAUAUUAUUGAACCGUUCCCAAGCUUCUGAAAAUGACUCAUUGGUUGUUAACUAAAUUGCAUGAUUUUAUCCCUUAGUGC
Molecule: small nucleolar RNA, 106 nt
Filed under: Prunus persica (peach)
Lineage: Eukaryota; Viridiplantae; Streptophyta; Magnoliopsida; Rosales; Rosaceae
Description: Plant small nucleolar RNA R71
Rfam family: Plant small nucleolar RNA R71
About the family: R71 is a member of the C/D box family of snoRNAs containing the C (UGAUGA) and D (CUGA) box motifs. Multiple nearly identical copies of this snoRNA have been identified in Arabidopsis, and it is thought to function as a 2'-O-ribose methylation guide for 18S ribosomal RNA.
Source: Rfam by way of RNAcentral